RNAcentral lists this ribosomal RNA (466 nucleotides) under uncultured bacterium. Its description in RNAcentral is "SSU rRNA". It matches the Rfam family "Bacterial small subunit ribosomal RNA", at positions 26 to 518 of the family's 1533-position model. The record is from RNAcentral.
AGGACAAACGCUGGCGGCGUGCCUAAGACAUGCAAGUCGAACGGAAGGCUUCGGCCUUGAGUGGCGGACGGGUGAGGAGCGCGUGGAGAACCUGCCCCGGGGUGGGGGAUAACAGUCGGAAACGAUUGCUAAGACCGCAUACGACCAUUCGUUGCAGGAUGAAUGGGGAAAGCAGCGAUGUGCCCUGGGAGGGCUCCGCGUCGGAUUAGCUAGUUGGUGGGGUAACGGCCUACCAAGGCUGCGAUCCGUAGCUGGUCUGAGAGGACGGCCAGCCACACUGGGACUGAGACACGGCCCAGACUCCUACGGGAGGCAGCAGUUAGGGAAUUUUGUCAAUGGGCGAAAGCCUGAACGAGUGACGCCGCGUGCGGGAUGACGCCGUUUCGGGUGUAAACCGCUUUUCCAAGGACGAGGAGUGGACGGUACUUGGGGAAUAAGUCUCGGCUAACUACGUGCCAGCAGCCGC